GGAUAGAAUUUUGGGGUGCGCCGUGCGUGAGGCAGAGCGCAGCGCGAGCACCAAUCACCACGUGUUCUCGAUCCUUACUGGCCUUGAGCACAGCAACAAGGUGGCUAAUAGCAAGAGUCGUGCCCCACGAGUAACGGAUUCCAUCAGGCUUUGCAGUAUGUGAACAUGUUGAGCUGUGAUUUUGUUGACGGGGACAUGUAAGGAAGGCUGAGUGUCAGGAAUGGACCAGUGGUCAGAUGGGUGGUGGUGAAUACACCUGCGCAAGGACUUGAAGAUCAUUUAAACUACAGUAAUGAUGCAGUAUACAGUGGGCGUUUUUUCUCCUGGCCUCAUCUUUCCUGAUGAGUUGAGCAGCUCCAUGACUGUGCACACGUAACCAUUGGUGGCUGACAUCCAUGAUGAACUGAAGAAAUUCACCUUUAUACUGGGACCCCUUUCGGUGCGCAAUGUAGGAAUUCAGAAGAAUACGGAAUAUGAAAUGAAUUCCAAGCUUUUUGAACCAGGCUAGGCUUUUCCUUCUGAAAGCAUAAGGCUCCAGCAACUGGUCAACCAUAUCUACAGUUCCCAUUUUGCUGUUAUAUUUUUCAAUGUGCAGUGGUCUAUUAUAGAAAAGUCUUUUCCCCAAAGUACGUUUUGCACUUUUCAACCAUACCAGCAGUGUAUUUUGUGGUGAGCAGUCACUUCUUUCUUGUCCUGGUACUUGACAACUAAAGUAUUCCCUUGUCUGGCAAAAACAGAUUGAAAUCUCUCAAAUUUUUCAGCCAUCAUCCUUUUGGGGGGUCCUCUACCACUUCUCACAACACCAGUCAUUGUGGUGUUACAGCUCAGCAAGUAAUUGCUAAGUCUGAGACUUGUGUACCAGUUAUUGGUAACUACAUGUCGACUGUGGUCCAGUAAGUCCUUCAUCAAAUGUAUGAUAAUGUCUUCUGGAAUGCUAAGGUUCCCUGCUGCUGGAUCAUCAAUUUUGAAGGCCCCUUUGCCGUAAUAGACAGCAAAAUUCCAGGAAUAUCCAUCCCAGUGGUCACCAGAGGGGCAAAGAACAAAUACCUUGAUGCCAAAAUGAGCGUUCUUUGUUUUUAUGAACUGUCUAAAUCCAAGAUGACCCUUCCACAAAAUAAGUGCUUCAUCAACAGCUACAUCCUCACCUGGUUGCAUAACUGCUUGGCACCUGUUCCUCAUCAGGUCCAAAAAUGGUUCAAUUCUGGUUGACAGUACAUUUUUCUUGACAGUGGCAGCAGAUGAAAAUCUCAAGAAUUUGAGAAUGGAGAGAAACCUAUUCCUAGUCAUCACUUCCUUUGUGAAAACUUGUGGGCCUCCAAAAACUGCAUUAUGUGACCAAUACAUAUGCAUAUUGGUAUUGGCUAUCAAUAACCCAAAGAAUACAUGCAUGUUAUCUGCUGUUACUGGUUCCCACUUAAGCCCAUAUACUUUUUUCUUUGUUGGAUUUUCAGCAAAAUAAACAUCAGCUUUCUCAUUAGCCCAUGAACACAAUUUAGAAAUCACAUAGCCAUCUAUAGAAUGACUAAAAGCAUCUCCAGGAGUAUGGAAAGUAAGGGCUGGAAUAGCCUGGGGCCCUUGGGCAGCACCAUUGGUGAAGCCGGGCGGUGCACGUGGCUGUGCAUCAGCAAAGAUGUUGACAAGAAACUGCCACCCACUGUUUUCAACUGGAUCAACAUCCUGCCAUAAUUCACUAUCACUAAGCUCCAGUUCACUGUCACUACUCUCAUCUUCACUCUCACAUUCUGGCACAUAUGAUGUAUCAGAGUCUGAAUCACCCCUGUCCGACAUGGCGGUAAAUUCCUUAAAACUAUCACAAGAUAUAGCAAAAAUAAGUUUCCAAUAAUGGCAAGGUAAUGAGAAGACACUAAAGUACGUCCUUUUGUAUCGAUCGCCUUAGGCAAACUGGGCAUGGAGAGGCACUUGCGGCCAGUAAUAUUCUAUGUUGGCCAGUCACGCCACAUAUUAGCAAAUUGAUUGGCUGAUGGGCGUGGCUUAUUUUUAUUCCCAGCAGUAGGCUAUACCAGGGUCAUAGACUGCCUACAGGACAAAAAACCACUCCGCAUUAUGUAUGGGUAUUGCAUGACACAUAUGUAUACGUCAUGGUGUUUGGUACGGAGCAUGUCCGUGAUGUAAAGGUGUACGUCAUGGGCGUGAAGGGGUUAAGCUUUUAAAUAUCACUUGCAUAGUAGAGACAUGGGUGACUAGUGCUGUAUGUGACUUGCCUCUGUUAAUGGUUAUCAAAUUGUUAGAUCAAACAUUGUGGAUGCCAUCACCAAACCAAAUAAAGUUUUCUUCAUGCAAGACAGCACUUCUUUCCUAUCUGUUCAUUGUGAUUUAAUAUUAGAAUGUUGCUGUUAUCUAUCUGAUGAUCUGAAUAAGUUUUUUGUGUACCUUUCUUUGGUUUAUCAUCCCAUAAGUGCUUGGUCCCAAGAAAAUAUUAAGUUGGUGAACUUCUUAGCUGAGUUGUAUGGAUAAAGGGUUGUCAUUAUGAGAGAUUCCAAGCUCCCAGAGAUAAAUUGAUCUAUACAGAA
Molecule: long non-coding RNA, 2531 nt
Organism: Scylla paramamosain (green mud crab)
Lineage: Eukaryota; Metazoa; Arthropoda; Malacostraca; Decapoda; Portunidae
Exons: 3
Source: RefSeq, a predicted model, not a curated record